GUAGGGAGCAAGCGUUGUCCGGAUUUAUUGGGCGUAAAGAGCUCGUAGGCGGUUUCGUAAGUCGGAUGUGAAAACUCAGGGCUCAACCCUGAGACGCCAUCUGAUACUGCGAUGACUGGAGUCCGGUAGGGGAGCAUGGAAUUCCUGGUGUAGCGGUGGAAUGCGCAGAUAUCAGGAGGAACACCAAUGGCGAAGGCAGUGCUCUGGGCCGGUACUGACGCUGAGGAGCGAAAGCAUGGGGAGCAAACAGGAUUAGAUACCCUGGUAGUCCCAUGCCCGUAAACGUUGGGCACUAGGUGUGGGGUCUUCUAACGGAUUCCGUGCCGUAGCUAACGCAUUAAGUGCCCCCGCCUGGGAGUACGGCCGCAGGCUA
This 373-nucleotide ribosomal RNA is filed under the name uncultured organism. RNAcentral's name for it is "partial 16S ribosomal RNA". It matches the Rfam family "Bacterial small subunit ribosomal RNA", at positions 527 to 896 of the family's 1533-position model. The record is from RNAcentral.